GCUAAGGUAGGGUAGCUGGUCAUCCUUUAGGACUGUGGAUCCUUAGACCCGGGUUCGAGUCCCGGCCUUGGCCC
Molecule: transfer RNA, 74 nt
Filed under: Methanorbis furvi
Lineage: Archaea; Methanobacteriati; Methanobacteriota; Methanomicrobia; Methanomicrobiales; Methanocorpusculaceae
Also listed under: 2 other names
Description: tRNA-His
Rfam family: tRNA
About the family: Transfer RNA (tRNA) molecules are approximately 80 nucleotides in length. Their secondary structure includes four short double-helical elements and three loops (D, anti-codon, and T loops).
Source: RNAcentral